RNAcentral lists this long non-coding RNA (588 nucleotides) under Nicotiana benthamiana. Its description in RNAcentral is "long non-coding RNA (NBEN_LNC012511)". The record is from RNAcentral. Lineage: Eukaryota; Viridiplantae; Streptophyta; Magnoliopsida; Solanales; Solanaceae.
UUUUGAGAAUUCUUUAUAAAAGAAGAGAGGGAGGAGAUCGAAACGAAUAAUUGUAUCGAACGAGCCCCUAUCUCAAUUACAAGUAAGGAGCUAUUACCCUAUGCCUAUGGUCUUCGUUCCUUACACGAUAGAUUGAGAGCCAGAUUGAGAUGCCCUAUCGAGGGAGUCUCCAGCUCUACAUCUAUCUACUAUUAAUACCCUAUGCCUAUGGUCUUCGUUCCUUACACGAUAGAUUGAGAGACAGAUUGAGAUGCCCUAUCGAGGGAGUCUCUAGCUCUACAUCUAUCUACUAUUAAGAAAGAAAGGGGAUCGGGUUUGAGUUACCCAGCUCAGUAACAAAAAAGGUUCGGAGAACAACCUAAUUACAAUAGAACCCCUGUUGAUUCGCCAAAGAUCUACAAGCCAGGAUUCUAGAGAAAGAGACGCUAUUAAGGAUACUUUAACAGAACCUUAGGACUUAUCUUGAGUUCGGCAUCCCUGACUCCAUUCCUGACUAGAGAAGGGAAUGCGGUGAAUCACCAGUUUGGAUCGAAGAAUAGGCACCCACGAAUUAGCAGCAUAUUUGCGUGAUCUAUCGAGUGGAAAACC